Oncorhynchus tshawytscha (Chinook salmon) is the source of this 449-nucleotide long non-coding RNA. Lineage: Eukaryota; Metazoa; Chordata; Actinopteri; Salmoniformes; Salmonidae. The record is from Ensembl.
UGGAGGUAGAUAUGUAUAGUGAUGGAGGUAGAUAUGUAUAGGGGGAAGGGGCCAGGGAUACUGGAGUGAUGGAGGUAGAUAUGUAUAGGGGGAAGGGGGCAGGGAUACUGGAGUGAUGGAGGUAGAUAUGUAUAGUGAUGGAAGUAGAUAUGUAUAGGGGGAAGGAGACAGGGAUACUGGAGUGAUGGAGGUAGAUAUGUAUAGUGAUGGAGGUAGACAUGUAUAGGGGGAAGGAGACAGGGAUACUGGAGUGAUGGAGGUAGAUAUGUAUAGGGGGAAGGGGCCAGGGAUACUGGAGUGAUGGAGGUAGAUAUGGAUGUCUAUUUAAAACAGAUUGUUAUAUACAAGCAUUUCACUACACCCACAAUAACAUCUACUAAACACUUGUCUGUGACCAAUGAAAUUGUAUUUGAUUUAUUUAUAGGGGUAAGGGGACUAGGCAUCAGGAU